Molecule: ribosomal RNA, 374 nt
Filed under: Nematoda sp.
Lineage: Eukaryota; Metazoa; Nematoda
Description: SSU rRNA
Rfam family: Eukaryotic small subunit ribosomal RNA
Source: RNAcentral
CUGAAUAACUCAACAGAGCACAUGGGCUAGUCCUGGUGCCAUAUCUUUCAAGUGUCUGCCUUAUCAACUUUCGAUGGUAGUUUAUGUGCCUACCAUGGUUGUAACGGGUAACGGAGAAUCAGGGUUCGACUCCGGAGAGGGAGCCUGAGAAACGGCUACCACAUCCAAGGAAGGCAGCAGGCGCGCAAAUUACCCACUCUCGGCAAGAGGAGGUAGUGACGAAAAAUAACGAGGUAGUUCUCAUUGAGGUCUACCAUCGGAAUGAGUACAAUCUAAACCCUUUAACGAGGAUCUAUUGGAGGGCAAGUCUGGUGCCAGCAGCCGCGGUAAUUCCAGCUCCAAUAGCGUAUAUUAAAGUUGUUGCGGUUAAAAAG